This 258-nucleotide ribosomal RNA is filed under the name uncultured bacterium. RNAcentral's name for it is "partial 16S ribosomal RNA". It matches the Rfam family "Bacterial small subunit ribosomal RNA", at positions 524 to 776 of the family's 1533-position model. The record is from RNAcentral.
UACGAAGGGGGCUAGCGUUUGCUCGGAAUGACUGGGCGUAAAGGGCGCGUAGGCGGCGCAGUUAGUCAGGCGUGAAAUUUCCUGGGCUCAACCCGGGGACUGCGCUUGAUACGGCUGUGCUUGAGGAUGGAAGAGGCUCGCGGAAUUUCCCAGUGUAGAGGUGAAAUUCGUAGAUAUUGGGAAGAACACCGGUGGCGAAGGCGGCGAGCUGGUCCAUUUACUGACGCUGAGGCGCGACAGCGUAGGGGAGCAAACAGG